AGGCGACGAUGGGUAGCCGGACUGAGAGGUUGAACGGCCACAUUGGGACUGAGACACGGCCCAGAACUCCUACGGGAGGCAGCAGUGGGGAAUAUUGCACAAUGGGGGAAACCCUGAUGCAGCGACGCCGCGUGGAGGAAGAAGGUCUUCGG
This 152-nucleotide ribosomal RNA is filed under the name Faecalibacterium prausnitzii. Its description in RNAcentral is "partial 16S ribosomal RNA". It matches the Rfam family "Bacterial small subunit ribosomal RNA", at positions 271 to 421 of the family's 1533-position model. The record is from RNAcentral. Lineage: Bacteria; Bacillati; Bacillota; Clostridia; Eubacteriales; Oscillospiraceae.